This is a non-coding RNA of Trichonephila clavata, 73 nucleotides long. The record is from the annotation of a GenBank genome assembly. NCBI's taxonomy places the organism in Eukaryota, Metazoa, Arthropoda, Arachnida, Araneae, Nephilidae.
GUACCUGUAGCGCAAUGGAUAGCGCACUGGAGUUUUGAUCCAAAGGUCGUGGGUUCAAAUACCACCUGAUAUA